UGGGGAAUUUUGGACAAUGGGCGCAAGCCUGAUCCAGCAAUGCCGCGUGCAGGAUGAAGGCCUUCGGGUUGUAAACUGCUUUUGUACGGAGCGAAAAGGUCUGCCCUAAUACGGUGGGCUCAUGACGGUACCGUAAGAAUAAGCACCGGCUAACUACGUGCCAGCAGCCGCGGUAAUACGUAGGGUGCGAGCGUUAAUCGGAAUUACUGGGCGUAAAGCGUGCGCAGGCGGUUAUGCAAGACAGAGGUGAAAUCCCCGGGCUCAACCUGGGAACUGCCUUUGUGACUGCAUAGCUAGAGUACGGUAGAGGGGGAUGGAAUUCCGCGUGUAGCAGUGAAAUGCGUAGAUAUGCGGAGGAACACCGAUGGCGAAGGCGACCACCUGGACUGAUACUGACACUGAGGUGCGAAAGCGUGGGGAGCAAACA
RNAcentral lists this ribosomal RNA (427 nucleotides) under uncultured bacterium. RNAcentral's name for it is "bacterial SSU rRNA". It matches the Rfam family "Bacterial small subunit ribosomal RNA", at positions 355 to 774 of the family's 1533-position model. The record is from RNAcentral.